GACGAACGCUGGCGGCGUGCUUAACACAUGCAAGUCGAACGGAAAGGCCCUGCUUUUGUGGGGUGCUCGAGUGGCGAACGGGUGAGUAACACGUGAGUAACCUGCCCUUGACUUUGGGAUAACUUCAGGAAACUGGGGCUAAUACCGGAUAGGAGCUCCUGCUGCAUGGUGGGGGUUGGAAAGUUUCGGCGGUUGGGGAUGGACUCGCGGCUUAUCAGCUUGUUGGUGGGGUAGUGGCUUACCAAGGCUUGGACGGGUAGCCGGCCUGAGAGGGUGACCGGCCACAGUGGGAUUGAGAAAGGGCCCAGACUCCUACGGGAGGCAGCAGUGGGGAAUAUUGCACAAUGGGCGGAAGCCUGAUGCAGCAACGCCGGGUGCGGGAUGACGGCCGUCGGGUUGUAAACCGCUUUCGCCUGUGACGAAGAGUGAGUGACGGUAAUGGGUAAAGAAGCACCGGCUAACUACGUG
Molecule: ribosomal RNA, 468 nt
Filed under: uncultured bacterium
Lineage: Bacteria
Description: partial 16S ribosomal RNA
Rfam family: Bacterial small subunit ribosomal RNA
Source: RNAcentral